GCUCCUGUAGCUCAGAUGGAAGAGCACUGGUAUGAAAAACUGCAAUAAACAUCAGAAGACGUGGGUGCAGUUCCCACCAGGUGCC
Non-coding RNA from Chytriomyces cf. hyalinus JEL632, 85 nucleotides. Lineage: Eukaryota; Fungi; Chytridiomycota; Chytridiomycetes; Chytridiales; Chytriomycetaceae. The record is from the annotation of a GenBank genome assembly.